GACGAACGCUGGCGGCGUGCUUAACACAUGCCAGUCGAACGGAAAGGCCCUGCUUGCAGGGUACUCGAGUGGCGAACGGGUGAGUAACACGUGGGUGAUCUGCCCUGCACUUCGGGAUAAGCCUGGGAAACUGGGUCUAAUACCGGAUAGGAGCCAUUUUUAGUGUGAUGGUUGGAUAGUUUUUUCGGUGUAGGAUGAGCUCGCGGCCUAUCAGCUUGUUGGUGGGGUAAUGGCCUACCAAGGCGGCGACGGGUAGCCGGCCUGGGAGGGUGGACGGCCACAUUGGGACUGAAGGACGGCCCAGACACCGACGGGAGGCAGAAGUGGGGAAGAUUGCACAAUGGGCGCAAGCCUGAUGCAGCGACGCCGCGUGGGGGAAGACGGCCUUCGGGUUGUAAACUCCUUUCGCUAGGGACGAAGCUUUUUGUGACGGUACCUAGAUAAGAAGCACCGGCUAACUACGUG
Molecule: ribosomal RNA, 465 nt
Filed under: uncultured bacterium
Lineage: Bacteria
Description: partial 16S ribosomal RNA
Rfam family: Bacterial small subunit ribosomal RNA
Source: RNAcentral